GAGUUUGAUCUUGGCUCAGAUUGAACGCUGGCGGCAGGCCUAACACAUGCAAGUCGAGCGGAUGACGGGAGCUUGCUCCUUGAUUCAGCGGCGGACGGGUGAGUAAUGCCUAGGAAUCUGCCUGGUAGUGGGGGACAACGUUUCGAAAGGAACGCUAAUACCGCAUACGUCCUACGGGAGAAAGCAGGGGACCUUCGGGCCUUGCGCUAUCAGAUGAGCCUAGGUCGGAUUAGCUAGUUGGUGGGGUAAUGGCUCACCAAGGCGACGAUCCGUAACUGGUCUGAGAGGAUGAUCAGUCACACUGGAACUGAGACACGGUCCAGACUCCUACGGGAGGCAGCAGUGGGGAAUAUUGGACAAUGGGCGAAAGCCUGAUCCAGCCAUGCCGCGUGUGUGAAGAAGGUCUUCGGAUUGUAAAGCACUUUAAGUUGGGAGGAAGGGCAGUAAGUUAAUACCUUGCUGUUCUGACGUUACCGACAGAAUAAGCACCGGCUAACUCUGUGCCAGCAG
This 510-nucleotide ribosomal RNA is filed under the name bacterium enrichment culture clone ALO1_GLFRUDD03FSEUG. RNAcentral describes it as "bacterial SSU rRNA". It matches the Rfam family "Bacterial small subunit ribosomal RNA", at positions 9 to 514 of the family's 1533-position model. The record is from RNAcentral.